AUUGAACGCUGGCGGCAGGCUUAACACAUGCAAGUCGAGCGGGGAAAGGUAGCUUGCUACCUAACCUAGCGGCGGACGGGUGAGUAAUGCUUAGGAAUCUGCCUAUUAGUGGGGGACAACAUUCCGAAAGGAAUGCUAAUACCGCAUACGCCCUACGGGGGAAAGCAGGGGAUCUUCGGACCUUGCGCCAAUAGAUGAGCCUAAGUCAGAUUAGCUAGUUGGUGGGGUAAAGGCCUACCAAGGCGACGAUCUGUAGCGGGUCUGAGAGGAUGAUCCGCCACACUGGGACUGAGACACGGCCCAGACCCCUACGGGAGGCAGCAGUGGGGAAUAUUGGACAAUGGGCGAAAGCCUGAUCCAGCCAUGCCGCGUGUGUGAAGAAGGCCUUUUGGUUGUAAAGCACUUUAAGCGAGGAGGAGGCUACUUGGAUUAAUACUCUAGGAUAGUGGACGUUACUCGCAGAAUAAGCACCGGCUAACUCUGUGCCAGCAGCCGCGGUAAUACAGAGGGUGCGAGCGUUAAUCGGAUUUACUGGGCGUAAAGCGUGCGUAGGCGGCUUUUUAAGUCGGAUGUGAAAUCCCUGAGCUUAACUUAGGAAUUGCAUUCGAUACUGGGAAGCUAGAGUAUGGGAGAGGAUGGUAGAAUUCCAGGUGUAGCGGUGAAAUGCGUAGAGAUCUGGAGGAAUACCGAUGGCGAAGGCAGCCAUCUGGCCUAAUACUGACGCUGAGGUACGAAAGCAUGGGGAGCAAACAGGAUUAGAUACCCUGGUAGUCCAUGCCGUAAACGAUGUCUACUAGCCGUUGGGGCCUUUGAGGCUUUAGUGGCGCAGCUAACGCGAUAAGUAGACCGCCUGGGGAGUACGGUCGCAAGACUAAAACUCAAAUGAAUUGACGGGGGCCCGCACAAGCGGUGGAGCAUGUGGUUUAAUUCGAUGCAACGCGAAGAACCUUACCUGGUCUUGACAUAGUAAGAACUUUCCAGAGAUGGAUUGGUGCCUUCGGGAACUUACAUACAGGUGCUGCAUGGCUGUCGUCAGCUCGUGUCGUGAGAUGUUGGGUUAAGUCCCGCAACGAGCGCAACCCUUUUCCUUAUUUGCCAGCGGGUUAAGCCGGGAGCUUUAAGGAUACUGCCAGUGACAAACUGGAGGAAGGCGGGGACGACGUCAAGUCAUCAUGGCCCUUACGACCAGGGCUACACACGUGCUACAAUGGUCGGUACAAAGGGUUGCUACCUAGCGAUAGGAUGCUAAUCUCAAAAAGCCGAUCGUAGUCCGGAUUGGAGUCUGCAACUCGACUCCAUGAAGUCGGAAUCGCUAGUAAUCGCGGAUCAGAAUGCCGCGGUGAAUACGUUCCCGGGCCU
Molecule: ribosomal RNA, 1359 nt
Filed under: uncultured bacterium
Lineage: Bacteria
Description: bacterial SSU rRNA
Rfam family: Bacterial small subunit ribosomal RNA
Source: RNAcentral